CGAGGGGUGCUAACCCGGCCACCCAACCCAGCAGGUCAGGGGCGGGCCGGCCAUAGGUUCGAAUCCUGCCACCUUUC
This 77-nucleotide transfer RNA is filed under the name Heuchera parviflora var. saurensis. RNAcentral's name for it is "tRNA-Pro". The record is from RNAcentral. Lineage: Eukaryota; Viridiplantae; Streptophyta; Magnoliopsida; Saxifragales; Saxifragaceae.